GCCCCAGUAACUCAGUGGUAGAGUACUUUCUUGGUAAGAAAGAAGUCAUGGGUUCAAGUCCCAUCUGGGGCU
This 72-nucleotide transfer RNA is filed under the name Chloroflexota bacterium. RNAcentral describes it as "Chloroflexi bacterium (hot springs metagenome) tRNA-Thr". It matches the Rfam family "tRNA". From Rfam's summary of the family: Transfer RNA (tRNA) molecules are approximately 80 nucleotides in length. Lineage: Bacteria; Bacillati; Chloroflexota. The record is from RNAcentral.